Molecule: transfer RNA, 73 nt
Filed under: Bos taurus (domestic cattle)
Lineage: Eukaryota; Metazoa; Chordata; Mammalia; Artiodactyla; Bovidae
Also listed under: 2 other names
Rfam family: tRNA
About the family: Transfer RNA (tRNA) molecules are approximately 80 nucleotides in length. Their secondary structure includes four short double-helical elements and three loops (D, anti-codon, and T loops).
Source: Rfam by way of RNAcentral
UCCCUGGCAGUCCAGAGGUUAGGACUCCCUGCUUCUAAUGCAAGGGGCCCAGGUUUGAUCCCUGGGCAGGGAA